AGAAGGCUGGUUUUGUAUCAUACUUAGGCAGAAAGUUUGAACACCGGUUGGAUUUAAAGUGUAAUUUGUUCGUAACGAUAGAGCUGUACUUGUCGACACGAAGCGUUUGCAAUCGUGGGAUGUGGCUAAGUUUUACUUCUUUCGACACUGGAACAACAGUAAACUUCUCAGAUAGCUCUGGUGGAUAUCCCUCCUCUGCACAGCUGGGGUGGACUUCCAGGAGAUGAAACCAUUACGCAUCUGUGAAUGCUGGCUGUGUCAACUGGUGGAGGGACUGCAUCCACAGAUGACUGUAUGUCCAUGAGAAGAGUUGUCAUAUGGACAGCAUUAUGUCCAGGGGAUUGUCUGUCAGGUCUGCUCUUUUUUCCCCAUGAUGUUCAGAGAGAAUACUGUCAAGGAUGAUCUUAUACAGUUUUGGGGAAUUUGAUUUUAUGAA
This is a long non-coding RNA of Stylophora pistillata, 436 nucleotides long. The record is from RefSeq and is a predicted model, not a curated record. NCBI's taxonomy places the organism in Eukaryota, Metazoa, Cnidaria, Anthozoa, Scleractinia, Pocilloporidae.